GACGUAGGGCGCGAGCGUUGUCCGGAUUUAUUGGGCGUAAAGAGCUCGUAGGCGGCUUGUCGCGUCGUCCGUGAAAACCUGCAGCUCAACUGCAGGCUUGCGGUCGAUACGGGCAGGCUAGAGUUCGGUAGGGGAGACUGGAAUUCCUGGUGUAGCGGUGAAAUGCGCAGAUAUCAGGAGGAACACCGGUGGCGAAGGCGGGUCUCUGGGCCGAUACUGACGCUGAUGCGCGAAAGCGUGGGUAGCAAACAGG
This 253-nucleotide ribosomal RNA is filed under the name uncultured bacterium. Its description in RNAcentral is "partial 16S ribosomal RNA". It matches the Rfam family "Bacterial small subunit ribosomal RNA", at positions 524 to 776 of the family's 1533-position model. The record is from RNAcentral.